This 468-nucleotide ribosomal RNA is filed under the name uncultured bacterium. RNAcentral describes it as "partial 16S ribosomal RNA". It matches the Rfam family "Bacterial small subunit ribosomal RNA", at positions 28 to 507 of the family's 1533-position model. The record is from RNAcentral.
GACGAACGCUGGCGGCGUGCUUAACACAUGCAAGUCGAACGGAAAGGCCCUGCUUUUGUGGGGUGCUCGAGUGGCGAACGGGUGAGUAACACGUGAGUAACCUGCCCUUGACUUUGGGAUAACUUCAGGAAACUGGGGCUAAUACCGGAUAGGAGCUCCUGCUGCAUGGUGGGGGUUGGAAAGUUUCGGCGGUUGGGGAUGGACUCGCGGCUUAUCAGCUUGUUGGUGGGGUAGUGGCUUACCAAGGCUUUGACGGGUAGCCGGCCUGAGAGGGUGACCGGCCACAUUGGGACUGAGAUACGGCCCAGACGCCUACGGUAGGCAGCAGUGGGGAAUAUGGCACAAUGGGCGGAAGCCUGAUGCAGCAACGCCGCGUGCGGGAUGACGGCCUUCGGGUUGUAAACCGCUUUCGCCUGUGACGAAGCGUGAGUGACGGUAAUGGGUAAAGAAGCACCGGCUAACUACGUG